This 502-nucleotide ribosomal RNA is filed under the name uncultured delta proteobacterium. RNAcentral's name for it is "bacterial SSU rRNA". It matches the Rfam family "Bacterial small subunit ribosomal RNA", at positions 9 to 524 of the family's 1533-position model. The record is from RNAcentral. Lineage: Bacteria; Deltaproteobacteria.
GAGUUUGAUCUUUGGCUCAGAACGAACGUUGGCGGUGUGCCUAAUACAUGCAAGUCGAGCGAGAAAACCGGGGCAACUCGGUGAGUACAGCGGCGGAAGGGUGCGUAAUACAUGGAUAACGUACUCCCCAGUUCGGGAUAACCCUCCGAAAGGUGGGCUAAUACCGGGUAAUGGCAGCGGGUGGCAUCAUUUGCUGCUUAAAGACGCAAGUCGCUGGGGGAGCGGUCCAUGGCCUAUCAGCUAGUUGGCGGGGUAACGGCCCACCAAGGCAAUGACGGGUAGCCGGACUGAGAGGUUGAACGGCCACACGGGAACUGAGACACGGUCCCGACAUCUACGGAUGGCAGCAGUAGGGAAUCUUGCGCAAUGGGCGAAAGCCUGACGCAGCGACACCGCGUGGGGGAUGAAGGCCUUCGGGUUGUAAACCCUUUCAUGAGGGAUGAACACUGACAUUACCUCAGGAAGAAGCACCGGCUAACUCCGUGCCAGCCGCCGCCGUAAG